AGUGUCUCCACGCUUGCACUUGGAUACGCGAAGCAGGACGUUUUCACUUAUCCGCGACUCGCAGGAUCCCCGCGGUCUCCCUGAAACCCGCCAAACGUCCGCACGAACAAAUUCUCCUAUCGGAUGUGUACGGUCCAUUCUGCCUCUAGACCGGCUUCUGCUUUCAAGAUGCAUCCUCUUCAUUCUAAGGUGUAAAUAGGAGAGAUUGAAUCACUGGAAGACAGGCACUUUCAGGCAAAGUUCGGUGUCUGUUCAACAUCAGACAGAAGCCCUGCAGCUGUCUGCAGAAAUAUUACAGCUUGAGCUCGCACAAGCUCCCUCUGGCCAUCUCUUCAGUUGGGGCUUGCUGAAGAAAGUGGGCUGUGCUCUCUCAAACAUUGGGAUUG
Puntigrus tetrazona (Sumatra barb) is the source of this 386-nucleotide long non-coding RNA. RefSeq lists it as uncharacterized. The record is from RefSeq and is a predicted model, not a curated record. NCBI's taxonomy places the organism in Eukaryota, Metazoa, Chordata, Actinopteri, Cypriniformes, Cyprinidae. The transcript is spliced from 3 exons.